UCAAAGCUGUUUUUCAAUGUCGCGCUUAAGGUAGCACGGUAAACACGAACAGUUCACAAACAACCGAGUGCGUGUCUUCGCCAGCAGAAGUUAAUCAGUUCAGAGAUAACAAACGGCGAGCAUACAGUCAGGUCACGUGACUUGUUCCAAUCUGACGUCAUCGACAUCAGAUGCAGGUGAUAGCAUUGUUCGCCAGCUGAAACAAGUCAAAGUUGGUCUGGAAAGCUGUGAAAAAGGGUGAAAGCGUCGAUGACAGGCCGUUGAUCAAGGUGUGCUGGAAUACAGAACACUGAAGUAACAGGUUAAAAACGGAUUUCUCAGAAAUAAAAGGACGCGGAACUGAUUUCUGCUUGCAGUGCAUCAACUACCAAGCUGCGCGCGCAACUUAUGUUUAUUUACCGAGUUCACAGAUUGCGAAAGUGCGACGACAAAUUUGUUUACCUGACGGAGUACGGAAAAGCCACGCACGGAUGUCUUCGACUUUACACUACUUCCAUAACAGUGACAACAACAGCCGGUCAGGAUGAGAGGUAGACAGGUAACAAGUCAGAGGAUUGAAAAGAAACCUUCGGAGGUAGUGAUGAUAAUCCAAGCACGGAUGCCUGGGGGAAGACACCAAGUCAUCAGUUCAUCGGAUCAUCAGGUCAUUCUGACAGGGGGGUCAGAUCUUCCGUUUGGAGAAUGCCAGAGGAAAGCAGACAGGUAUACCAACAGCGUCAAGAAGAAUUUGUAUCGUGGGCCACAAUGUUCUGUCUUGACACCAAAGAACGACAGAAGAGGAUCAACCGCUUCAUCUGGCAGCAGGGACCCCCUCACGUCCUGCACGUACAGACUGGAGGCGUUCCCGCGACCUCCGAAGCACGUGACUUGGAGGGACGAAGAGAGCGGAGAGGGGCUGGUGACAGUUCUCGCGUAGUUUGACGAAGGGACUUAAUUCUUGGAGGAGAGGACAAAAGAGUGAACUUUCCUUUCUCUCCAACACCUUUGGCAGCAAUCAAGAUGGGAGGACAGCGCUUCGACAGACAUUUUGGACUUGGUUCUGCACAGCACAGGAGACAGUCGUAUCGUCAGAGCCUAUGAUCCACCACCCCUCCCCCUACCCCUUCCCACACACACUCGUUGUACCCGUCACAGCAAACGUGGUCAAACGAACUCAGGAGUGGUUAGUCGAGAUGGUCCUUUAACAGCUGUUCAAAUCUCUUGUGUGCAUCAAAAUUAAGAAGGAGGCUACAGGUGUAAAUAUACUUGGACAGUUAGCCAACUGUAUGUCAAACGUAAUCGCAUGUUUCCGUGUGAAAGAAUUGCUUCAAGGAGUCAGCUAACCCAAACACCUGCAUGAACCCGGCAGAAUAUCCAGCAAAAUCAGAAAAGUAUAACCUCAAGUUAUAGAAACAUAUCGUUGAUUAGUUCUUGUUCAUGCAGCCAUAUAGGACGUCCGUCCGAGCUGUUUAAGUAACUCGAAGUCCGUUAUUGUUCUAUGACUGUUCUGAUGUCCCUUGAUGAACCCCUUGUGAAAUCUAGACCUCGGUAAGACCACCUGCACAAUUCGAUACCUCUCUAAAUUUGGAACUAAGACCAUGUAAAACAAUCUCUUCGUGGCAGUGAACGGAAAACUUUGUAAUCAAAUCUCUUCAAGCAUCGGACAAAGCUCUUCUACCGUUCCCGUAUUGUCAUCUCACCUGGGGAGGGAGCGGUGUUCAUUUCUACCCUUUAGAAUAUUCGUCAAGCGAGAAUAUUGUGUCACAAGGUGUGCCUUGAUCAUCUCUACUAAUGUGUUGUGUCACGUGUACCAUGAUCAUAUUUAUUAUUGUAAUACACAGCAAGAUGAGGAGGUGGUGGGGGGGGGGUCAUACAUUCAUACAGAACUAUCUAAGGGAAAUGAUUUUAUAGAUUGCUAAUGCAUUUAAUUUCUUGAAGAACACCCCGAUCUUCUCUCCGAUCUUUUUCGGGUUUUCGACGCAAGGUUAGAGGAAGGUUUACGGCCAUCAACAGUUUUGGGAAAAUUCUGCAUUCAAGACAUUCAUUUGAACACUGGAGGUUACAAUUUGUUGUGGGAAAGCUGUUGGAAAUAUACUGAGAGCAAGAUAGACUCAGAAGCAUGAACAAAAACUUGGUUUUGUAAGCUUCCUGUAGUUGGUGUGUUGUUGUUGUUUGAAUUCAUGCCUGUAAAUACUUGCAUCAUAAAGUGCGAACACUGGUGCGAAUAAAGAUUUAAACGAUU
Molecule: long non-coding RNA, 2221 nt
Organism: Pomacea canaliculata
Lineage: Eukaryota; Metazoa; Mollusca; Gastropoda; Architaenioglossa; Ampullariidae
Exons: 2
Source: RefSeq, a predicted model, not a curated record